AUGUUACUAUGGAUUUCAUUUCUGGCCUGCCAGUCUCAGGUCAAUUUGAUUGCAUAUUCUUGGUUAUUGACAAGUUCAGUUGCUGAAGUGUUCCUAGAUAAUGUGUAUAAGUUGCAUGGGAUGCCAGAGUAUAUAGUGUCAGACAGAGACCCUGUUUUGACUAGUGCAUUUUGGCAAACCUUGGUCAAAAGAACUGGCACCCAUCUUAAUAUGAGUACUGCUUAUCAUCCAGCUACUGCUGGGCAGACUGAGAGAGUGAAUCAACAAGUUGAGUGUUAUCUCAGGAGUUUUAUCAGUGCACAUCCUAAACAAUGGAGCAAGUGGCUUUCAAUGUGUGAGUUCUGGUAUAAUACUAAUUGGCAUUCUGCAGUGGGCAAGACUCCCUUUGAGAUUUUGUACGGCCAUCCUCCUAGGUACUUUGGCAUCACUGCUAGUGACACUGUGGCUUCUCCUGAUAUCCAGCAGUGGUUAUUAGAAAGGCAGACUGUGUUAGAUUCUGUCACCCAACAUCUGCACAGGGCUCAACAAAGAAUGAAAGCUCAAGCUGAUAAGCACCGAACUGAACGUGUCUUUGAAGUUGGUGAAUGGGUUUUUCUCAAGCUCCAACCUUAUGUCCAGUCCUCAGUUGUUCGUCGAGCAAAUCACAAACUCUCCUUCAAAUACUUUGGUCCAUAUAAAAUUCUGGGCAAGAUUGGUGAAGUGGCAUACAAGCUGGAGUUGCCUGCUACUAGCAAAGUCCAUCCAGUAUUCCAUGUAUCGCAACUCAAGAAGGUGCCAGUGCAAGUGCUUCAGUCUCGAGUGCGUCAGGUUGGUCAGAAAACA
Molecule: ribosomal RNA, 822 nt
Filed under: Triticum aestivum (bread wheat)
Lineage: Eukaryota; Viridiplantae; Streptophyta; Magnoliopsida; Poales; Poaceae
Description: partial small subunit ribosomal RNA
Source: RNAcentral